GUUUUGCAGUGCAUCUUACUGUCUUGAACUCACAAGUGAGCACAACCACCUUUUCCUCCUUGUCAUGCUAAUCUAUAUGCACAAUGUUCUAGUAUAUUGUGAAGAAGGCAAAUUUGUUUAUGGGUGGGUUCAAUCAAGGAGGUGCUUGAGCUGGGAGUAUUAUCUUAUCAUCAUGUACUAGAAAUUCAGUAUAGGAUAUGAUGAAUUAUUUAGUGCCCCCAUUCUUAUAAGCAAUUCUUAGUUUUGCUUGACCCCUUUGUUUACCCUAUGUAUGUUGCCAGCUAAUCAAUCCAAACCCUUUAACAUGUACCAUAUGUAUGUUGACUGCAAACUGAAACAACAUGCGCCAAUUUGUGGUUCACCACGUGAAUUGCUAAACUGCAGUCGAUCAUGUUUUGCUCAAUGGUCGUCGAUCUUGCUUUGCUCUCUGGAGUGCAUGUAGAAGAGUUACGUAUAUUAUUUGCCAAAUUGUUACGUGAAACCUGGGAAUAAUAAUAGCUUACCAUGUAGAGUAACAGAGUCAUUUCAUUGUGUUCUGUUUUAUAGUUGAAAAAUGGAGUGGUAUACAGGAAGAAUGGCCUAUGUCCUAUACUCACACGCUGCAUUUGAUUGAUCCUAGCUUAUCUGGUUGUGAAACCAACAAAUAUCUUGUUUGGUUUGUCUGACUGAUGAGUGACCAUUGAUUUCUAGUAGGUGCUGAUUUGUGGGUCUGCUCUGACUUUAGAAGUUGGCUUUAUCCGAAGACUUUGUGUUCAAUUGCUUGGUGCCUUUUGAUUCAUCUGUCAUUGAGAAGUUUGCACUCAGAGUAAGAAAGCCAGCAUCAAGUUGUGGUACAUGAUGUCGAGGAAGGAGUGGAGAAAAGACCGGAGUAGGAUGUGAUUGUUGCUUUGCGGCCCAUCUUGUUCGAAAGUAUCCCUGAGUUGGACAUGGCAACUUAUAAUCCAGAACUUUUUAUAGUGCACAAACUUGACGAUGUAUCAAUAACUCUUGUAAUGAUUGCUUUUAUUUCCGCACAUGAAAACGGCUUAGGCCAAUGCUCGAUCAUCGUGAAAUGCAGACUGAUAUCUUAAGCUUGAUGAAGUGAUGGAUAAGUUGUAGUAAUAUUUUUAAAAUUCUAGUUGACAUGAAUUAUGAACCUUUGUUAUGUGCCUGUGAUUUUUGUCGUUUCUCAGAAUUAUUUGUGGAAUGUGAUUUUUGUUGUUUCUCAGAAUUAUUCGUGGAAUUUUUAUCUAUGAUUUGGUUGUUUUCCAAAAUUAUAUGUAGACUUUUUAUGUAAGAUCUGCUAUAUUAUAUGUGUCUGUAGUA
RNAcentral lists this ribosomal RNA (1305 nucleotides) under Triticum aestivum (bread wheat). RNAcentral describes it as "partial small subunit ribosomal RNA". The record is from RNAcentral. Lineage: Eukaryota; Viridiplantae; Streptophyta; Magnoliopsida; Poales; Poaceae.